AGUGAACGCUGGCGGUAGGCCUAACACAUGCAAGUCGAACGGCAGCACCGUAAGAGCUUGCUCUUACGGGUGGCGAGUGGCGGACGGGUGAGGAAUACAUCGGAAUCUACUUUUUCGUGGGGGCUAACGUAGGGAAACUUACGCUAAUACCGCAUACGACCUACGGGUGAAAGCAGGGGAUCUUCGGACUUUGCGCGAUUGAAUGAGCCGAUGUCGGCCUAGCUAGUUGGCGGGGUAAAGGCCCACCAAGGCGACGAUCCGUAGCUGGUCUGAGGGGAAGAUUAGCCACACUGGAACUGAGAAACGGUCCAGACUCCUACGGGAGGCAGCAGUGGGGAAUAUUGGACAAUGGGCGCAAGCCUGAUCCAGCCAUACCGCGUGGGUGAAGAAGGACUUCGGGUUGUAAAGCCCUUUUGUUGGGAAAGAAAAGCAGCAGGUUAAUACCCCGCGGUUCUGACGGUACCCAAAGAAUAAGCACCGGCUAACUUCGUG
This 492-nucleotide ribosomal RNA is filed under the name uncultured bacterium. RNAcentral describes it as "partial 16S ribosomal RNA". It matches the Rfam family "Bacterial small subunit ribosomal RNA", at positions 29 to 507 of the family's 1533-position model. The record is from RNAcentral.